UUGAGCUCUGAGCUCCCCCGUGUUGUUUGUGUGUUGUUUGUAUAACAUGUCUCCAGGACCUCAAACACUCGUGAACACUGGAUCAUAGCAAGAAGUUGGCUUUCUGUGCCUUGGCUGAUGGAACAAAGACUAUUUACUUUCGGGUUCUUGGGGUAGGGGGUGGGACACUGUUCUUCCUUCUUGGGCCGUCCUUGCCCAGCUACUUUGGAAGACAGUCUAGCAGUUUCUCACAGAACCGAACACUCUUAACCUACGAACUUAAAUCCACACAAAAAACCUGCACAUGGAUGUUGGUAGCAGCUUCGUUCCCAACGACCAAAAACUUGGAAGCCUCUGGAUGUCCUUCAGCAAAGAAGGGGCAGAGGCAGGGGGAGAAGGAGACAGAAUCUUAAGCAGGCUCCACACCCAGAGUGGAGCCUGACACGGGGCUUGAUCCCAUGAUGCUGAGAUCACAACCUGAGCUGAAACCAAGAGUCGGACACUCAACCAACUGAGUCACCCAGGUACCCCAAGACUAGAUCUUUUAAAGUUUUAGGUUUGUAUCAUAACGAAAUUGAGUGGAAGGUACAGAGAUUUCCCAUCUGGCCCCUCCCCCUCAUAAGCACAGCAUCCUCUGUUAUCAACAAUGUGCAUCAGGUAACAUUUGUUACCAGGUAUGAACGUACACUGAUGCAAGCUCAUCGCCCAAAAUCUACAGUUUACCUCGGAAGACUCAGCUCUCCCACUGCUGCCUGUACAUUGCUCAGUGUUGUGUUCAGCUGCAAGUAGUUGAAAACCAGACUUGAGUGACUUCAGCCUAGAGGUAUUAAUUUCUUCACGGAACAGGAAGUUCGGAGACGGGCCCUUGUGUGUUCAGAUCGAACAGCUCCUCCCUAUCACAGCUGGACCCAUAUGCCUGCCAUUCCUUUGGUCUCUCUUUCAUGUUCCAGAUUCCAAGCAUCGCUUCUGCAUCCAAGGGAAAAUGGGACCGGAAGAGGGGAAGAUCCCACCAGCCAGCCCAGUUUCUUUCUGUCCUGGAAGCAAAAGCUGUCCAGAGUUCGCCCCUGUCCUAAGAAGACUUUUGCUUAAGGCUCCCCGCCCAGAACCAGGUCCCACGAGAACUCCCAGUACAACAGGAUCUGUGGGACAGAGGUGGUCUGUGGCCGCAAACAAAAUUGAGACAGCGUUAGCACCAAAAAAGGGGUCGCUGGGCACCGGCGUGCAAGUAACAGUAUUUCUGACGCACGUUGCCAUAACCAAGAGCUGUGUGGCUUGCUACAGGCUUUGACUUUGGGGAUAGAAAGCCCCUGCUUCAGUCAGCGUCCCGCGCAGGGUAGCUUUGAUAAUAACAGCAGCUCUGUUCAUUAUAACAACCUGUCUUGACAUCAGCACUUCCGUGGAGCAGGCAAGAGAAGUCUCCCCACCCCCACUGGAUGGCUGCAAAACCGAGCCUGCAGCACGGGCAGCUGCGUGAACAUGGUCAGCCCAGAACUGGAAUCUGACUCCUACACCUUCAAGCCUGUGUCCAGAGCUGUGAUUGAUUCCAUUUCUGCCUGCUUGGUCCGCACCGCCGGUUGAACCUCUGGCCGAGGUGAGACGAUUUUCCAUACUGAGAAAUGCACAGAGUCAAGCUCCCCUACAAGUUCUCUCUUUUUUUUUUUUUUUUUUUUUUUUUUUAAAUAUUGGGGUUUUCCUGUGGUGGCUGAAGCUUUUCAUGACAUAGAGUUUUGGGAGAAUUAUGAGGGAAUUUCAGACACCAACACCCAUCAAAACCCCUUGCCACCAAACUUUAGCCCGAAUGCCUUCUGUGUGGCCCUGUGAGUAAAACUUGUACAAUGCUUGCAAGAAAAUAAAGGAUGGCUGUGUACCCCUUCCAAGUCAUAUUCAAGCCAAAGGGAUUCAAUUCUCUACAGAAGUGUGUUUCUGGCGUGCCUGGGUGGCUCAGCGGUUGGGUGUCUGCCUUUGGCUCGAGUCAUGAUCCCGGGGUCCUGAGAUCGAGCCCCACAUCGGGCGCCCUGCUCAUUAAUGAAUUGAUGAAUCAGAUGUUGUUGAUACAUGCUUACCCUAUAUUUGCAUAAAAAAUCACAUUUCCAGCUUUUUGAACUUUGCUCUGGCAGUGCCUUGGUCAGCAUUGCCCGCUGAACCUCUCGCCAAAGUCAGAGGACCUCCAGUGCUGAAAAAUGCAUUCUUACAGAGGGAAUCGAACAGGGUUUAGGGCAUUCAGUGAUGUGAAGUCUGCGAAGCAGGAAGAGCCAAAUCCCUCUGGAGGUGUAUGCGCUAUUUAUUUAUUUAUUUAUUAUUUAUUUUAAAGAUUAUAUUUAUUUAUUUGACAGAGAUCACAAGUAGGCAGAGAGGCAGGUAGAGAGAGAGAGGAGGAAGCAGGCUCCCCGCUGAGCAGAGAGCCCGAUGCGGGGCUCGAUCCCGGGACCCUGAGAUCAUGACCUGAGCCAAAGGCAGAGGCUUUAACCCACUGAGCCACCCAGGCGCCCUAUAUAUGCUAUUUAACUUGAUGCUUGCCUUCGGCUGUUCAUAAACACUAUCUAGAAGCUUCCCCCUCACAGUGGGCUGGCAUUGGAUUUCAGAACCAAAACAAUAGAAAAUAAUGCAAAAUGAGAAAGCCCUAUGCAAACAAAUGGAGGAACACAGAAAUUCCAAUUUUAGAAAUGAAAUGGAAUCUGGUGGUGGUGGCCACCCAGAGGCCUCCUUCUUGCUUCCUCAGUCUGUCUCUCCCCGGGAACUUAACUCUCCUUUCCCACCCGGAGUCUAUUGUCAAUGCCACGAGCACUGGACAGAAGCUCGUAGACAAAGAAAAAUCAGCUAUAUUGAGCAUAUUUUAUCCUAAUCGCCAUAGGGAUCAUUUCCUCCUGCAGGGAGGCGGACACAUAUUACAAAGAUACAGAAACCAGCGCCUUUCGAAGGGACACCAACCUCAGACAACCUUUGUGGAGUUCCAGGUUCUAGAAACACACUGCUUGGGAUGGAGUGGUGGUAAUGAUUACAGUUGUGUUUGUUUGUUUAUUUUAACCACCUUGGUGGGGGAGCUGGCAGAGUCUGGAGGAAAGAGAAAAGUAUUGGAGAAAUAAACAAAUUAGGUUCUGCUAUUUAUCUACUGUGUGUCUGUGUCUGUGUGUGUGUCUGUGAGUGAGAGAGAGAGAGAGAAAGGGCUCUUGUUUGAGGUUAUUUUUCAGUUUCAGCACUUCUCCUGAGACUUAAGCAGAGAUCACAGAUCCCAUGUGCCUUGUUAGUAAAUUUGUUAUAAAUAGAAUAACCACCCAGACCGCAUUAUCACGAGUUCCUAUAGUCCCUGACCACAUGUUUCCACUGCUAAGGCGGUCACGUGUGGGGAGGUCGGGGGCAUGGGAACAGUUGGUUUAACUACACCAGUGGUAUUCCUCCCCACCACCUCCAAGAAAAACACCGAACCAGUGGGAUUCCCAGGAUGAUUUCCAUCCAGUGGAUCAUCACCGAAAAGAGCUCUGAGUUGUAUUAUGGCCACUAAACGCAACUUCCAAAAGCCAUAAUUAAGAGAGCACAAGCAGGGGGAGCUGCAGACAGAGGGAGAAGCAGACUCCUUGCUGAGCAGGGAGCCCGAUGUGGGGAUCGAUCUUAGAACCCUGGGAUUGUGACCUGGCCUGAAGGCAGAUGCUUACAGACUGAGCCACCCAAACGCCCCUGUAAUUUUAUCUUAAAACAAUAUUAGACUGACCAGACAUCACUCCUUCCAGAGGACCGACACUCCCUACUGCCGCCCCCCACGAGGAAGAAAAUCACCAAGGGCUGAUAGAUCAACAUGACCCAGAAACCAGGUUGUUUGGAGGCCGCCCUACUCCGCCAAAUGUCCUAGCAGCACAGUAAAAGGGUCAAAACAAAACUCUGUGUUAUUAUUGAAGGCUUCUCUACUCUAAUUGCAUUUGUAGUUCAAGGAAUUCUUCAUGGUGCCUCUAAAUUUUCUAAAGAAGCCACAGAGCUUAACACUUCUUUCAAGGAUAGGGAGCAAAAGUCCUUUGUAAGUUUCCUUCCAGACAAAAGGCGACUGUGCCUUUCUGUGCAUUUGGUUUCUUACACUCCGUGAUCCCUAUAUUUGGUUUUCCUUAGCAAUUCUAUGGAUCUACACCGAGCCAUGGAAUGGUUCUUUCAUUGUGAACUUUUCACACAGCAUAUUUUUAUUUUUCACUUUCAAAAAUGAUCUAAGACACUGGCUGCAUUCAGAAACGUGUGCCAGGCCCCAUCUUCUCUUCUCCUUGAGCUAGUUCAUCCUGCUAUUGUA
Mustela lutreola (European mink) is the source of this 4246-nucleotide long non-coding RNA. RefSeq lists it as uncharacterized. Lineage: Eukaryota; Metazoa; Chordata; Mammalia; Carnivora; Mustelidae. The record is from RefSeq and is a predicted model, not a curated record. The transcript has 4 exons.